Long non-coding RNA from Passer domesticus (house sparrow), 410 nucleotides. RefSeq lists it as uncharacterized. The record is from RefSeq and is a predicted model, not a curated record. Lineage: Eukaryota; Metazoa; Chordata; Aves; Passeriformes; Passeridae. The transcript is spliced from 2 exons.
GAGCAGAAAUACAAUCCCAAUAACUUCUUAAGUUCCUUUCCAAGUCUGCUUUCGACUAUUGCUUUUUGAACCGAAUGGGGCUUAAGCAAGCACCUUCCUCUGGAGAUUCCAGAGGAUUCCAUGGAACAGGAUUCCAUGGAACUAGCUGCGUCUGGUGGCAUCACGUGCAGCACGUCCUAUAAAGGAUGCCACAUUCCACUGUAUUGCUGGAAACACUCCACACCACUCACAACAGUGAAUCCUGUGUCAUCUAGGCUUGCUAAGAAACCAGGCAGAGAGAAAGACAGAAAGAAGCUGUCUGAACAUUUAUGCAGAGUCCCACAACCUGUAUUGUGCUACAGUGAGACCCACUGUGAAGUAAAUUGGUGGCAAGCCUGGUUUUGAAGGAAAGCCCUAUUUUGUCAACACAA